Molecule: transfer-messenger RNA, 352 nt
Filed under: Phycisphaerales
Lineage: Bacteria; Pseudomonadati; Planctomycetota; Phycisphaerae
Also listed under: 2 other names
Description: JAFLCM01 sp017303565 Standard tmRNA
Rfam family: transfer-messenger RNA
About the family: Bacterial tmRNA, also known as 10Sa RNA or SsrA, is named for its dual tRNA and mRNA-like properties. Its role is to liberate the mRNA from a stalled ribosome.
Source: RNAcentral
GGGGCCGAUCGGUAUCGACCGGACAGGGAAAGCACGGCGUGGCGCGCCGCGGCGCACGCUGGCCGCGUUAAAAAGCGUGCACAACACAGUUGCGAACAGCAGCUACGCUCUCGCUGCCUAAUACAGGCGGCAUCGUCCCCGCCCGACGCCCGAUGGGGCGGGGACGAAAAGACAUCGGGCUGGUACUCCCCGUUGCGCCCCGGUGCGCGGGAGACAAGAAGCAACACAGGGGCUGGGCAGGGUCCGACGCCGCUGGCGGCGGCGGCCUGCCAAGAUCAAUCGCCAGAGACGCGCGUGGAGGCGCCGUGCGGACUGUUUCGGGACGGGGGUUCGAUUCCCCCCGGCUCCAUUC